AUAAUGCAGUCGAGCGGACAGAAGGGAGCUUGCUCCCGGAUGUUAGCGGCGGACGGGUGAGUAACACGUGGGUAACCUGCCUGUAAGACUGGGAUAACUCCGGGAAACCGGAGCUAAUACCGGAUAGUUCCUUGAACCGCAUGGUUCAAGGAUGAAAGACGGUUUCGGCUGUCACUUACAGAUGGACCCGCGGCGCAUUAGCUAGUUGGUGGGGUAAUGGCUCACCAAGGCGACGAUGCGUAGCCGACCUGAGAGGGUGAUCGGCCACACUGGGACUGAGACACGGCCCAGACUCCUACGGGAGGCAGCAGUAGGGAAUCUUCCGCAAUGGACGAAAGUCUGACGGAGCAACGCCGCGUGAGUGAUGAAGGUUUUCGGAUCGUAAAGCUCUGUUGUUAGGGAAGAACAAGUGCGAGAGUAACUGCUCGCACCUUGACGGUACCUAACCAGAAAGCCACGGCUAACUACGUGCCAGCAGCCGCGGUAAUACGUAGGUGGCAAGCGUUGUCCGGAAUUAUUGGGCGUAAAGGGCUCGCAGGCGGUUUCUUAAGUCUGAUGUGAAAGCCCCCGGCUCAACCGGGGAGGGUCAUUGGAAACUGGGAAACUUGAGUGCAGAAGAGGAGAGUGGAAUUCCACGUGUAGCGGUGAAAUGCGUAGAGAUGUGGAGGAACACCAGUGGCGAAGGCGACUCUCUGGUCUGUAACUGACGCUGAGGAGCGAAAGCGUGGGGAGCGAACAGGAUUAGAUACCCUGGUAGUCCACGCCCGUAACGAUGAGUGCUAAGUGUUAGGGGUUUCCGCCCCCUUUAGUGCUGCAGCUACGCAUUAAGCACUCCGCCUGGGGAGUACGUCGCAGAACUGGAACUCAAAGGAUUGACGGGGGCCCGCAC
This 889-nucleotide ribosomal RNA is filed under the name Bacillus safensis. Its description in RNAcentral is "bacterial SSU rRNA". It matches the Rfam family "Bacterial small subunit ribosomal RNA", at positions 51 to 926 of the family's 1533-position model. Lineage: Bacteria; Bacillati; Bacillota; Bacilli; Caryophanales; Bacillaceae. The record is from RNAcentral.